UAAUAAUUUUACCACUUGAUUUAAUUAUGUUAGAACGAUAGGUAAAGUUGUUAUGCCCAUUCUUUUCAUAUUUGAAAUAAGUUAUCUUAUUUAAUGGUUUGCUUGGUGAAUUGAUAACCUUUUUCUCUAGAGAUUUAUUGUUAAGUAAAGGUGUCAAGCCAAGUUUUGAUUUAUCAUAAGCAACAUAUUGGCUUUCAAACAUC
This 203-nucleotide long non-coding RNA is filed under the name Phoenix dactylifera (date palm). RNAcentral describes it as "long non-coding RNA (PDAC_LNC013750)". Lineage: Eukaryota; Viridiplantae; Streptophyta; Magnoliopsida; Arecales; Arecaceae. The record is from RNAcentral.